CAGUAGGGAGGAAGGUAGUGUAGUUAACACCUGCAUUAUUUGACGUUACCUACAGAAGAAGCACCGGCUAACUCUGUGCCAGCAGCCGCGGUAAUACGGAGGGUGCGAGCGUUAAUCGGAAUUACUGGGCGUAAAGCGCAUGCAGGCGGCCUGUUAAGUCAGAUGUGAAAGACCCGGGGCGUUAACCUCGGAAUUGCAUUUGAAACUAGGCAGGCUAGAGUCUUGUAGAGGGGGGUAGGAAUUUCAGGUGUAGCGGUGAAAUAGCGUAGAGAUCUGAAGGAAUACCAGUGGCGAAGGCGGCCCCCUCGGACAAAGACUGACGCUCAGAUGCGAAAGCGUGGGGAGCAAACAGGAUUAGAUACCCUGGUAG
RNAcentral lists this ribosomal RNA (370 nucleotides) under uncultured bacterium. RNAcentral's name for it is "bacterial SSU rRNA". It matches the Rfam family "Bacterial small subunit ribosomal RNA", at positions 434 to 793 of the family's 1533-position model. The record is from RNAcentral.